UGAGGAAUAUUGGUCAAUGGACGCAAGUCUGAACCAGCCAAGUAGCGUGCAGGAUGACGGCCCUAUGGGUUGUAAACUGCUUUUAUGCGGGGAUAAAGUGUGGGACGUGUCCCAUAUUGCAGGUACCGCAUGAAUAAGGACCGGCUAAUUCCGUGCCAGCAGCCGCGGUAAUACGGAAGGUCCUGGUGUUAUCCGGAUUUAUUGGGUUUAAAGGGAGCGUAGGCUGUUGCUUAAGCGUGUUGUGAAAUGCCGCGGCUCAACCGUGGCACUGCAGCGCGAACUGGGCGGCUUGAGUUACCGGUAGGCAGGCGGAAUUCGUGGUGUAGCGGUGA
Molecule: ribosomal RNA, 332 nt
Filed under: uncultured Prevotella sp.
Lineage: Bacteria; Pseudomonadati; Bacteroidota; Bacteroidia; Bacteroidales; Prevotellaceae
Description: bacterial SSU rRNA
Rfam family: Bacterial small subunit ribosomal RNA
Source: RNAcentral